RNAcentral lists this ribosomal RNA (450 nucleotides) under uncultured Glomeromycotina. Its description in RNAcentral is "SSU rRNA". It matches the Rfam family "Eukaryotic small subunit ribosomal RNA", at positions 569 to 1025 of the family's 1831-position model. The record is from RNAcentral. Lineage: Eukaryota; Fungi; Glomeromycota.
AGCAGCCGCGGUAAUUCCAGCUCCAAUAGCGUAUAUUAAAGUUGUUGCAGUUAAAAAGCUCGUAGUUGAAUUUCGGGACCAAUUUGUUGGUCGUGCCUCGGUACGUACUGAUAUUAUUGGUUUCUCCCUUCUGAAGAACCAUGAUGCCAUUAAUUUGGUGUCGUGGGGAAUCAGGACUGUUACUUUGAAAAAUUAGAGUGUUUAAAGCAGGCUUUCGCUUGAAUACAUUAGCAUGGAAUAAUGAAAUAGGACGUUUGAUUCUAUUUUGUUGGUUUCUAGGAUCGACGUAAUGAUUAAUAGGGAUAGUUGGGGGCAUUAGUAUUCAAUUGUCAGAGGUGAAAUUCUUGGAUUUAUUGAAGACUAACUACUGCGAAAGCAUUUGCCAAGGAUGUUUUCAUUAAUCAAGAACGAAAGUUAGGGGAUCGAAGACGAUCAGAUACCGUCGUAGUC